UGGGCAAUAUUGCACAAUGGAGGGAACUCUGAUGCAGCGACGCCGCGUGAACGAAGAAGGCUUUCGAGUCGUAAAGUUCUUUUAUAUGGGAAGAUAAUGACGGUACCAUAAGAAAAAGCCCCGGCUAACUACGUGCCAGCAGCCGCGGUAAUACGUAGGGGGCUAGCGUUGUCCGGAAUCACUGGGCGUAAAGGGUUCGCAGGCGGAAAUGCAAGUCAGGUGUAAAAGGCAGUAGCUUAACUACUGUAAGCAUUUGAAACUGCAUAUCUUGAGAAGAGUAGAGGUAAGUGGAAUUUUUAGUGUAGCGGUGAAAUGCGUAGAUAUUAAAAAGAAUACCGGUGGCGAAGGCGACUUACUGGGCUCAUUCUGACGCUGAGGAACGAAAGCGUGGGUAGCAAACAGG
This 403-nucleotide ribosomal RNA is filed under the name bacterium. RNAcentral's name for it is "partial 16S ribosomal RNA". It matches the Rfam family "Bacterial small subunit ribosomal RNA", at positions 355 to 776 of the family's 1533-position model. The record is from RNAcentral.